CCGUGAAACUGCGAAUGGCUCAUUAAAUCAGUUAUCGUUUAUUUGAUAGUACCUUACUACUUGGAUACCCGUGGUAAUUCUAGAGCUAAUACAUGCUAAAAACCCCGACUUCGGGAGGGGUGUGUUUAUUAGAUAAAAAACCAACGCCCUUCGGGGCUCCUUGGUGAUUCAUGAUAACUUCUCAGAUCGCACGGCCUUGCGCCGGCGACGGUUCAUUCAAAUUUCUGCCCUAUCAACUUUCGAUGGUAAGGUAUUGGCUUACCAUGGUUUCAACGGGUAACGGGGAAUUAGGGUUCGAUUCCGGAGAGUGAGCCUGAGAAACGGCUCACACAUCCAAGGAAGGCAGCAGGCGCGCAAAUUACCCAAUCCCGACACGGGGAGGUAGUGACAAUAAAUACUGAUACAGGGCUCUUUUGGGUCUUGUAAUUGGAAUGAGUACAAUUUAAACCUCUUAACGAGGAACAAUUGGAGGGCAAGUCUGGUGCCAGCAGCCGCGGUAAUUCCAGCUCCAAUAGCGUAUAUUAAAGUUGUUGCAGUUAAAAAGCUCGUAGUUGAAUCUUUGGCCUGGCUGGCGGGUCCGCCUCACCGCGUGCACUUGUCCGGCCGGGCCUUCUCUUCUGGAGAACCGCAUGCCCUUCACUGGGCGUGUUGGGGACCAGGACUUUUACUUUGAAAAAAUUAGAGUGUUCAAAGCAGGCCUUUGCUCGAAUACGUUAGCAUGGAAUAAUAGAAUAGGACGUGCGGUCCUAUUUUGUUGGUUUCUAGGACCGCCGUAAUGAUUAAUAGGGACAGUCGGGGGCAUCAGUAUUCAAUUGUCAGAGGUGAAAUUCUUGGAUUUAUUGAAGACUAACUACUGCGAAAGCAUUUGCCAAGGAUGUUUUCAUUAAUCAGUGAACGAAAGUUAGGGGAUCGAAGACGAUCAGAUACCGUCGUAGUCUUAACCAUAAACUAUGCCGACUAGGGAUCGGGCGGUGUUAUCGAUUUGACCCGCUCGGCACCUUGCGAGAAAUCAAAGUGUU
RNAcentral lists this ribosomal RNA (1019 nucleotides) under Dictyosporium bulbosum. RNAcentral's name for it is "SSU rRNA". It matches the Rfam family "Eukaryotic small subunit ribosomal RNA", at positions 79 to 1107 of the family's 1831-position model. Lineage: Eukaryota; Fungi; Ascomycota; Dothideomycetes; Pleosporales; Dictyosporiaceae. The record is from RNAcentral.